This 520-nucleotide ribosomal RNA is filed under the name uncultured Glomus. Its description in RNAcentral is "SSU rRNA". It matches the Rfam family "Eukaryotic small subunit ribosomal RNA", at positions 569 to 1093 of the family's 1831-position model. Lineage: Eukaryota; Fungi; Glomeromycota; Glomeromycetes; Glomerales; Glomeraceae. The record is from RNAcentral.
AGCAGCCGCGGUAAUUCCAGCUCCAAUAGCGUAUAUUAAAGUUGCUGCAGUUAAAAAGCUCGUAGUUGAAUUUCGGGAUCGAUAUAUCGGUCGUACCUCGGUACGUACUGGUAUUUUCGGUUUCUCCCUUCUGACGAACCUUGAUGUCAUUAAUUUGGUGUCUUGGGAAUCAGGACUGUUACUUUGAAAAAAUUAGAGUGUUUAAAGCAGGCUCACGCUUGAAUACAUUAGCAUGGAAUAAUGAAAUAGGACGUUUGAUUCUAUUUUGUUGGUUUCUAGGAUCGACGUAAUGAUUAAUAGGGAUAGUUGGGGGCAUUAGUAUUCAAUUGUCAGAGGUGAAAUUCUUGGAUUUAUUGAAGACUAACUACUGCGAAAGCAUUUGCCAAGGAUGUUUUCAUUAAUCAAGAACGAAAGUUAGGGGAUCGAAGACGAUCAGAUACCGUCGUAGUCUUAACCAUAAACUAUGCCGACUAGGGAUCGGAUGAUGUUAAUUUUUAAUGACUCAUUCGGCGCCUUACGG